GAUUGCGAUCAUACCAGCACUAAUGCACCGGAUCCCAUCAGAACUCCACAGUUAAGCAUGCUUGGGCGAGAGUAGUACUAGAUGGGUGACCCCCUGGGAAGUCCUCGUGUUGCAACCCC
This 119-nucleotide ribosomal RNA is filed under the name Helianthus annuus (common sunflower). The record is from RNAcentral. Lineage: Eukaryota; Viridiplantae; Streptophyta; Magnoliopsida; Asterales; Asteraceae.